Molecule: transfer RNA, 72 nt
Filed under: Dipodomys ordii (Ord's kangaroo rat)
Lineage: Eukaryota; Metazoa; Chordata; Mammalia; Rodentia; Heteromyidae
Rfam family: tRNA
About the family: Transfer RNA (tRNA) molecules are approximately 80 nucleotides in length. Their secondary structure includes four short double-helical elements and three loops (D, anti-codon, and T loops).
Source: Rfam by way of RNAcentral
GGUAGUGUUGCUUACGUGUUUGAGAACCUGCCUAGUAAGCAGAAGACCUGAGUUCAAACCUCAGUACUACAG